CAACAGGGAUUGCCUCAGUAACGGCGAGUGAAGCGGCAACAGCUCAAAUUUGAAAUCUGGCCCUUUCAGGGUCCGAGUUGUAAUUUGCAGAGGGUGCUUUGGCGUUGGCCGUGGUCUAAGUUCCUUGGAACAGGACGUCACAGAGGGUGAGAAUCCCGUACGUGGCCGCCGGUCUUCGCCGUGUAAAGCCCCUUCGACGAGUCGAGUUGUUUGGGAAUGCAGCUCUAAAUGGGAGAUACAUUUCUUCUAAAGCUAAAUAUUGGCCAGAGACCGAUAGCGCACAAGUAGAGUGAUCGAAAGAUGAAAAGCACUUUGGAAAGAGAGUCAAAAAGCACGUGAAAUUGUUGAAAGGGAAGCGCUUGCAGCCAGACGUGCCCGCAGUUGCUCACCCAGGCUCUUGCCUGGGGCACUCUUCUGCGGGCAGGCCAGCAUCAGUUCGGGCGGUUGGAUAAAGGUCUCUAUCACGUACCACCCUUCGGGGUGUCCUUAUAGGGGAGACGCAACACGGCCAGCCUGAACUGAGGACCGCGCAUCAGCUAGGAUGCUGGCGUAAUGGCUGUAAGCGGCCCGUCUUGAAACACGGACCAAGGAGUCUAACAUCUAUGCGAGUGUUUGGGUGUAAAGCCCGGGCGCGCAAUGAAAGUGAACGGAGGUGGGAACCCUUUGGGUGCACCAUCGACCGAUCCUGAAGUCUUCGGAUGGAUUUGAGUAAGAGCAUAGCUGUUGGGACCCGAAAGAUGGUGAACUAUGCCUGAAUAGGGUGAAGCCAGGGGAAACCCUGGUGGAGGCUCGCAGCGGUUCUGACGUGCAAAUCGAUCGUCAAAUUUGGGCAUAGGGGCGAAAGACUAAUCGAACCA
Molecule: ribosomal RNA, 857 nt
Filed under: Neoroussoella solani
Lineage: Eukaryota; Fungi; Ascomycota; Dothideomycetes; Pleosporales; Thyridariaceae
Description: LSU rRNA
Rfam family: Eukaryotic large subunit ribosomal RNA
Source: RNAcentral